Molecule: ribosomal RNA, 440 nt
Filed under: uncultured bacterium
Lineage: Bacteria
Description: partial 16S ribosomal RNA
Rfam family: Bacterial small subunit ribosomal RNA
Source: RNAcentral
CCUACGGGUGGCAGCAGUGGGGGAUAUUGCACAAUGGGGGAAACCCUGAUGCAGCGACGCCGCGUGAGUGAAGAAGUAUUUCGGUAUGUAAAGCUCUAUCAGCAGGGAAGAACAUGACAGUACCUGACCAAGAAGCCCCGGCUAACUACGUGCCAGCAGCCGCGGGAAUACGUAGGGGGCAAGCGUUAUCCGGAUUUACGGGGUGUAAAGGGAGCGUAGACGGUUAUGUAAGUCUGGAGUGAAAGCUCGGGGCCCAACCCCGGGACUGCUUUGGAAACUGUGUGACUGGAGUACAGGAGGGGCAGGCGGAAUUCGUGGUGUAGCGGUGAAAUGCGUAGAUAUCAGGAGGAACACCGACGGCGAAGGCGGCCUGCUGGACUGAAACUGACGUUGAGGCUCGAAAGCGUGGGGAGCGAACAGGAUUAGAUACCCUGGUAGUC